Oncorhynchus keta (chum salmon) is the source of this 1683-nucleotide long non-coding RNA. RefSeq lists it as uncharacterized. Lineage: Eukaryota; Metazoa; Chordata; Actinopteri; Salmoniformes; Salmonidae. The record is from RefSeq and is a predicted model, not a curated record. The transcript has 2 exons.
GCAUAGGGUACUGUAGCUACUGACAUUACAGGCGUGAUUCAGAAAUUAGGGAGAGAUUUUAAUUAGAGAACAUUGGAUACACUUUUUCAAUGCCAGUUAACAAUAUUAUAGUUAUCAUGUUUCACAUUGUAUUUAUCAACUACAAAAAGGUUGGAUACCCUUUAACCCUGAUGGCACCCCGAACGACAUCACCCAGCUCAACAAAAGCCAGGCUAACAUCCCUCAGGCCAAUGACAGUCAGGCCUCCGUCACCCAGGCCUCCGUCACCCAGGCCAACAUCACCCAGGCAAACGUCACCCAGGCAAAAUACAGGCAGACUGACGUGUCCCAGGCCAACGUCACCCAGGCAAACUACAGGCAGACUGACGUGUCCCAGGCCAACGUCACCCAGGCAAACUACAGGCAGACCGACGUGUCCCAGGCCAACGACAACCAGGCCAAAGUCUCCCAGGUGAACAACAGCCCAGACAACAUCACACUCAGAUACCCCCCCUGACUCCGGACAGCCCGGAUGACACUGUCACCCUGAACUCAAUCUCAGUUGACUCCCUAUCCCUCCCGACAAAGGGAGGAAGAAGGAUGAAGAAGACAUGAAUGUUUAGUGCCUUGGAGCAUUUUCACAAAUCCACAUCUGAUUCUGAUCUUUGUGUUUAGUACCUUUAUUGGCACUAAAAUAUGUAAAUUAAAAAUGAAACAAAGUCUUGCUCUAACAAAUCUUGGUAGCUGCCUGAGGUGGGUGUAGGAACAGUGAAAAUAUAUUAAGAUGACGUUUUUAGAUCAGAAGUAGUUGAGUACAUAAGGCUCCGUAACUGCAACAGAGUGAUACUUCUGAAGAUGUAAGAUCUGUUGGGCAGUAUGUGAAGGUGCACUCAAGAACAGUAUUUCCCUCCCUUGUCUGACUCUGAUAGCUGUCUCCCCUUCUCUUGGCUCUUUGAACUCUGUGGCUCAUUCAAUGCCUCACAGUUGCAUUCCCAAGCAGGAAAUCUGUAGAUGAUUGGUGUUUGUAGUUAAGGUCAUCUUGUCUUUUUGUAGUUGAAAGGGAACUUAGUCAUUCUGCUUUUGAUAUUGCAGUGUGCACAAUGGAGUAUGGCCAGUGAAGUCCGUGAUCGGGGAAAGGUUGGGCCAGGCAAGGCAUGUGGUCCUUCUGUGGCUCAGUUGGUAGAGCAUGGCGCUUGUAACGCCAGGGUAGUGGGUUCGAUUCCCGGGACCACCCAUACGUAGAAUGUAUGCACACAUGACUGUAAGUCGCUUUGGAUAAAAGCGUCAGCUAAAUGGCAUAUAUUAUUAUUAUUAUUAUAUUUUAUUAUUAUUAUUAUUAUUAUUAUUAAAUGUGAUCGGGGAAAGGUUGGGCCAGGCAAGGCACAGAAAGAGAAAAUAAAUGUGAUCGGGGAAAGGUUGGGCCAGGCAAGGCACAGAAAGAGAAAAUAAAUGUGAUCGGGGAAAGGUUGGGCCAGGCAAGGCACAGAAAGAGAAAAUAUAUGUGAUCGGGGAAAGGUUGGGCCAGGCAAGGCACAGAAAGAGAAAAUAAAUGUGAUCGGGGGAAAGGUUGGGCCAGGCAAGGCACAGAAAGAGAAAAUAAAUGUGAUCGGGGAAAGGUUGGGCCAGGCAAGGCACAGAAAGAGAAAAUAAAUGUGAUCGGGGAAAGGUUGGGCCAGGCAAGGCACAGAAAGAGAAAAUAAAUGU